Molecule: long non-coding RNA, 728 nt
Organism: Rhagoletis zephyria (snowberry fruit fly)
Lineage: Eukaryota; Metazoa; Arthropoda; Insecta; Diptera; Tephritidae
Source: RefSeq, a predicted model, not a curated record
CGUAAAUACCUAUUUGGACGUUCUCUGCUUUGUGGCUAGGUUAGGUGUUGAGUUCCAGAUCACUUGGUGCAUAGUUGGUCCAUUGUGCUGGCUUAAAUCGGUGAUAACUCGGAAGAAACAGAAAGUUAAGCAUUCGCGUUAAAAGAUAACAUUUUGUAACACGUUCAAUUAGCGAGUUAAAUAAAGUGAAGUGAAGUUGCGUGUCGUGCGCGUCUGAAAACGGAAGCAGGAAAAAGUGAAACUAUCGGUCGAUGCGACGAGCCAUCAGUAACGUCAUAAGCGGUAAGGCGUAAAGAAAGUAAAAGCAAUAAAGAAAAUUGAGGAAGUUUAUUCGGCGGUAAAGAAAAAUCGAAAAACUAAGACAAAAAAGUGCACGGAGAUUUAUUUUCACAAUUAUAGACGCGCGUGCAAUAAGCCAAUAGCCGUCCGUCUGUCAACUGCGCUGACCGUUCGGUCCGUCUUUUGCCAAAGUGUAUUCAUUAUAUAAUUCAUUUUUUAUAAUUUCAUGAAAUAAAUUGUUUAAAUUAUUGACAACCAUUGAAUGCUAAUAGAUUUUAUCGCGGACAGAAGUGAAAAAUUCCGGGCUACGCAAUAUUAUCGCUUUCAAUUCCUGUGACAAGCGAACGAGAAAGUACGAGAAACAAUCAGACAAUCCACGAUACAAAAAUUGCAAAUAUAUCACACCUGCGGCAAUUCAAAGAGAACUGGAACAAAAGAUCUCAAUUGGC